GCCAAGUUCAGGGAACACCUAUCCCAUUUCAGGUAUUUAAAGGGCAGGGAGCAGUGAAAAUCUCCUCUCUACCUCGAGCUCUACUCACAGACCACUGCAUGGGUGUUGAGGUUCUUGUAUUCCUGCUAGUGAUGACCCUCUACCACAGCCACCAAGUCUGCUCUGUCCAGAGCAUCAAGUGCCAGUGGUGACCACGCUCACAAUUCUUCACCCCACCAUAGCCAGAACAUUCUAGGGAGUUGCUGGCCUGUAUGAAGCUUGUUCCGUAAUCAUCUCAGAGCUCCCAAAAUAAAGAGUGAAGAUUCAAGAUGAAGUGGUUGCUAAAGAGGAGUCUACUCCAGUGUCUUCUCAUCAAGAGGAUGGAGCUAUCUAAUUGAUGCUUGGGUAGAGGGAUCUAGAACCUCUUCACUGCAACAAAGGUACUAGAUCUAUGCUGCUGUUGAUGG
Molecule: long non-coding RNA, 446 nt
Filed under: Zea mays
Lineage: Eukaryota; Viridiplantae; Streptophyta; Magnoliopsida; Poales; Poaceae
Description: drought responsive lncRNA
Source: RNAcentral